UGGUAAUCAGAAGAAUUGCUUUCGAAGCUUACAAAUGGAAAUUCUCACAAAAGAAUGUGAUGAAUAAUAAAACCUUACAAACAUCAAAGAAGAUGAAUAAUGCUUUGGGAAAAGUCCCCGGAUCCUAGGAUAGAAAGUAUCACCCGUAAUGGUAAUGUCUCUGUUUGCUGGUACCUUGGCAAAGAAGAAGUUGUCCAGUGCCUUUUAGGCACCACCCAAUCUCCGAGUCUUUAGUGCUGCAUUCAAAGUCAAUGAUCGAAGUUAAAGGCUAAUGCAAUUAGGAAUUUCUUUUCUAGCAGUAUUACUCAUUGUAUUACUAUUAGAAUUAAUUUCCGUACAUAAUGGGGCUUACUCUCAUGAUUACC
Non-coding RNA from Dictyostelium firmibasis, 365 nucleotides. The record is from the annotation of a GenBank genome assembly. NCBI's taxonomy places the organism in Eukaryota, Evosea, Eumycetozoa, Dictyosteliales, Dictyosteliaceae.